GCCUUCGAGUUCCCUGGAACGGGACGCCAUAGAGGGUGAGAGCCCCGUCCGGGUCGUGCGCCUAGCCUCUGUAAAGCUCCUUCGACGAGUCGAGUAGUUUGGGAAUGCUGCUCUAAAUGGGAGGUAUACGUCUUCUAAAGCUAAAUACCGGCCAGAGACCGAUAGCGCACAAGUAGAGUGAUCGAAAGAUGAAAAGCACUUUGAAAAGAGGGUUAAAUAGUACGUGAAAUUGCUGAAAGGGAAGCGCUUAUGACCAGACUUGGGCGCGGCGGAUCAUCCGGCGUUCUCGCCGGUGCACUCCACCGCCCCAGGCCAGCAUCAGUUCGCGCCGGGGGACAAAGGCUUCGGGAAUGUGGCUCUCUCGGGAGUGUUAUAGCCCGCUGCGUAAUACCCUGGCGCGGACUGAGGUCCGCGCUCUGCAAGGAUGCUGGCGUAAUGGUCAUCAGUGACCCGUCUUGAAACACGGACCAAGGAGUCGUCUUCGUAUGCGAGUGUUCGGGUGUCAAACCCCUACGCGGAAUGAAAGUGAACGUAGGAGAGAGCUUCGGCGCAU
This 553-nucleotide ribosomal RNA is filed under the name Emericellopsis minima. Its description in RNAcentral is "eukaryotic LSU rRNA". It matches the Rfam family "Eukaryotic large subunit ribosomal RNA", at positions 177 to 758 of the family's 3401-position model. The record is from RNAcentral. Lineage: Eukaryota; Fungi; Ascomycota; Sordariomycetes; Hypocreales; Bionectriaceae.